AGCGAACGCUGGCGGCGUGCUUAACACAUGCAAGUCGAGUGCGUAGCCCUUUGUAGCAAUACAGAGGGUGGGCGCACGGCGCACGGGUGAGUAACACGUGGGUAACCUGCCCUUCGGUGGGGAAUAACCCCGCGAAAGCGGGGCUAAUUCCGCAUAACAUUCCGGGGACACAUGUUCUCGGACUCAAAGGAGCGAUUCGCCGGAGGAGGGGCCCGCGCCCGAUUAGCUUGUUGGUAGGGUAACGGCCUACCAAGGCUUUGAUCGGUAGCCGGUCUGAGAGGAUGGCCGGCCACACUGGAACUGAGACACGGUCCAGACUCCUACGGGAGGCAGCAGUGGGGAAUCUUGCGCAAUGGGCGAAAGCCUGACGCAGCGACGCCG
Molecule: ribosomal RNA, 381 nt
Filed under: uncultured bacterium
Lineage: Bacteria
Description: bacterial SSU rRNA
Rfam family: Bacterial small subunit ribosomal RNA
Source: RNAcentral